AAGAGAGAGAGUGAACAGGAAAGAGGGAAAUCAGUGGAUCCUGAGGAAGGUGGAAUAGGUGGGGAGAGCAGAAUAAAGAGAGAGAGGUGAAGAAGGUCACACAAAAGCCAGCUUGAACAAGUGAGUCUUCAGCUGCUUUUUAAAGGAGACCACUGAGUCCACUGAUCUCAGGCUCAGGGGGAGAGAGCUCCAGAGUCUGGGGGCCACAGCAGCAAAUGAUCUGUUACCUUUGACCUUUAGCCUGGUGCUGCACAACCAGUAGGCUUUGAUCACUGGACCUCAGGGACCUGCUGGGGGUGUAGGGACUAAGAAGAUCACCAAUGUAAGAUGGUGCUUGUCCAUGUAAGGCCCUAUAGACCAGAACCAGGAUCUUGAAAUGAACCCUGAAGUUGACUGGCAGCCAGUGAAGCUGGAGGAGAAGCGGGGUGAUGUGGGUGUGUUUGGAAAACAAGAAGAAACAUCUUCUCAGUGGCCUAGUGGUAAUGUCCAACCUGGGAUUGGGAGAUCGGGGUUCAAAUCCGGGUCGGGUCUUACCAAAGACUGUAAAAAUGGGACCCAACACCUCCCUGCUUGACACUCAGCUGUAAGCGGUUGGAUUGGGGGGUUAACCCACCACAGCUUCAGCGCACCGCUCCCCACGGGGAAGGGUCAGAUGUGGAGAUGGAUGUCACCAGUGUGUGAUGACCAUGAGACUUUAAAUAUCUGAGCACCAGUUUAUGCUAUAAGAGUCCACCUGAUUUCCUCGUAGAUGAAAGUCUUUAUUCAGGUAACCGGAGGUCUCGGACACGCCUGCCUGAAGUGACUCGAACCGUUAAUCUGUGGCAGAUUUUUAAGUAGUUUCAUUUUUAUUUUCUCUGGUAAAUUCGUUCUUCAGAAAUCUUUCCUCUCGUACCUCAGACUCAGAUUUGAAUCAGGGACUGAUGUCAGAACAAGGGUUUAUCUUAAUGAGACACGUGACCUUUGACCUCUCAUCACUCCCUGAAAGCAGCACCGACCCAAAGUUUGGUUCUGAAUCAGACUGGAGGUCUGUGAGUUCUCAGGAUCCGUGUUUGUUUGCAGGAAGUCGGUGACCGGCACUAAAGACCGCCUUGGAGAUGCUAACCAGAUAAUUUAUGAGUCCACGUCCAACAAAGAGACUCUUUACUCUUUAGGACAUAAAAGCAUCUCAGAUUAAAUGUUUUCACUCGACGGAGAAUCAUUCACAUUCACGAGACGAUGCAGGAAUCUGAUUCGCUGAGAUGAUUUUAUAUUAAAUCCUCUGGGUCUGAAUCUCCAUCUUCCUCAUAAACCAGGAGGCUCUGCUGGGGAGGUUUCAUUUAAGAUGUGGGGUGUGGCAGCCGGGUGGGGUUUACCUGCUGCCAUGACCUCAGCAGUGUGUUGGUGUCCGGGUGGUCCGAUGGUGGGAGGUCUGUUGUCUCUUUAGUGUCCCGCCCACAUUUCUGCCAGCUGAUUGGACAGCAGGCUGCAGUAACCUAGCAACCCUCAGAUGUCUCCCAUCAUUCCUCCGAGUCCUCUCUGGUUCCGGAGGACUGGGAGGCAGAUCUGCUGAUCGAAGCUUCGGCAUCAAACAAACUCCCACUCGGCCAGCAGGAAAACAUCCUCAUGUAUGUGAGAUAAAUGUGCAGCUGAUGAUGUACCGUUACCUUGGUUACCCAAGAGAUGAUGCUCACUGCAGGAGGAUUUAGGAAGGAAAGCGGUCUGCGGAAACGUUUGAUCUGACCUUUGACCUUCAGCUUCAUUCUCAACAUGUAAGUUUGUUUAAUAGGUGCUGACUGGGUCGAUGCGCCCAGAACAGGCCCCUCCCACCAUGCUGCCCUCCUCCCUCUGAGGAACCAGUCAGCCGACAGGAUGAUGCCAAAGCAGCUGGCCCAGACGUCUCCAGGGAGCGUGUUGUCCCUGCGAGGGACCGGCGUUCCUGGAUCCCCCAGCGCUGCGAUCGUGGCUCGAGUGGAGGACGGUGUCAUUGGCUACAAGGACCUGGCGGCACUGCCCAGAGACAAAGCCAUCCUGGACAUCGAGAGGCCGGAUCUGAUGAUCUACCAGCCACACUAUAGCUACAGCCCGCUGGAGAGGUCCUUGUCUCCUCGCUCCAUCUCUCCUCCUCCCUCCCCAGAGAACUCGUCCAAGGAGUCUCGGGAGUGGCCGGAGAACCGGUCACCUGGAGGUUCUUCGCCUUGUUCCACGACCCAGAGCAGCAGAACACAGAGCUCACACACGCCGCCACCACCACACACACCCAACACACACUCCUCUGGAACCAAGAGCCCCAUGCAGCACUUCCACCGACCCGAAAACGGCUCAAACAUCUAUAAGAAACCUCCGAUCUACAAACAAGAUGUUUCGUCCUCUGCCGUCCCUCAGGGGAAACACAUUGAGGAUCUGAUCAUCGAGUCCUCCAAGUUCCCUGCCGCUCAUCCUCCAGAUCCUAACCAACCUUCAAAGAUCGAGACCGACUACUGGCCCUGCCCCCCCUCUCUGGCUGUAAUUGAGAGUGAGUGUAAGAAGAAGGAGCAGAGGGACGAGGAGGAGGAGGAAGAUGAUGAGCUGUGGGGUCUCAGAACUCUUCAGAGACAAGAACUGAACAAGAUUCAGUCCAAUCUGGGUAAAAUCAUCCUAAAAGAGGAGUUGGGGAAGUCCGCAACUCCUCUAAGAAGGAAAACUCGGUCUCUGCCGGACCGAAACCACAGUGCUGGCACCAACACCUCCAGGUCUGUUUAUUUCCCAGCAUCCUCUAAGAGCGGCCUGUCCAGGAGUUCAGGAUCAGAGCAGGCUUCAGCUCUGGAGAUUCGGCUCGAACCAGGUGUGUCGGAGCAGCAGGAUCUGGGUAAAACAUGCUGGUUAGGAGGUUGGACACACCUGGGCCAGAGUCUGAUGAAGACGAUGAUGAAGGUUUCUGUUUGUUUCCAGCUUCAGUCCACAGAGUUCAGCUCCUCCAAGAUGAGUCAGUCAGCUCUUCAGGUAAAACAUCUCCUUGUUUUGCUCCCAGAUCUGAUCCACAGGAUUCCUAGUUGGACAGUUAUAACGCUUGUUUUGUUUGUUUGUUUGUUUGUUUGGACCAGAACGGAGACUCCAGGAUGGACAGAGGAAACUCGCUGCCCAGCAUGUUGGAUCGUAAGAUUUUUCCCUACGAGAUGCUGGUGGUGACCCACAGAGGAAGACUCAAACUUCCUCCUGGAGUGGACCGAACCAGACUGGAGAGACAUCUCUCUCAGGAGGAGUUCUUCAGCGUGUUUGGGAUGUCCAUUGAGGACUACGACAGCCUGUCCCUCUGGAAGAGGAAUGAGCUGAAGAAGAAGGUCUGUCUCUUCUGAUGCCCUUGGGACUACACGUCCCAGAAUCCCCUGCUCUCCCCGUGCCGGCCGGCGGGGAACCAAACAGACUCGGGUGCCAGCGGCGCCGUGGACUCUUGGGUUUGCUGAGAAGUGCUUUUGGAGUUCUGCUGCAGCAGGGUGAACGUUUAGAGCUCCAGAAUCCCAACCAGCCUGGAGCGGGAAGAGGUCGUAGGUGUGACGUGAGCUUUUAUUCUUCCUGCUCUGACAAAAGGAAUCACAUUCCCUCUGACCCUGAGUCAGUUUUCCAGACCAGCCUCUGAUAAGGAGCCCUCCUAUUGGCUCAGCCAGCGAUGAUGUCACGCUGACAGCAUUUCAAUUCCAGCAAAGAAGGAAACAAGGAGUCUGUUUGAUCGCAGGCUGAGUCCAGACCCGUCCCGGUCGAACACACCCGAUCCAAAAGAACCAAAUCAGCUCUGAGUUCUGCAGAGUUCUGGUAACGACCCGUUCAAUUAAACCAGGUGUGCUAGAGCAGGUAAACAUCUAAAACAGGAGCAGAACCUCUGGUCCCAAAGCUGCCGGUCCAAACUCUAAACCUCUGAUUUAUUUAAUAUGAUGAAAGAAAAGGAAAAAUCAUUUCAAAUGUUUUUAUUUAGGAUUUAAAAAAGGAAUCAAAACAGAAUAAUAUGAAACUGGAUCCGGAUGUUUAAGUGAAAAGAUAAUUUUUUUUUUGAAUAUUUUAAAAAUGAGAAGUUAAUCAAAAGUUAACAAACAUCUCACAUUCACGGGCAAUUGGAGGUUAAAUCAUGAAAUUUAAAAACUAGAUUUUGUUUUCUACCGUAAUCAUGUUUAACAAAACUAUUUAGAAUCAGGAGAAAAUCAAACAUCAAACAGUUUGAAUGGUUAAUAAUUCUAAAAUGUUCCUAAACUAAAAUUUCCUUCAUUUUAAUAAAGUAAAGCUAAUUAUUUUUGAGCUAACGUCCCCUCUGAGUCUCAGUGGAGAAAAUGUUGUCACAAAGUCAAAUAAAUCCAAACUUUAUUCCCAGGGGCGCCUCCAGAAAAUUUAGAUAGGGGUGGCCAGAUGGGGCCAAAUAAAUUUUUGGGGUGGCCCACCAGAUUGGUCCUUGUGGUAACUCUGGGAGAGUUUAGCCUGUAGCGAUGUAUUGCAUUGCUCCUAUAUUCAUUUUUAUUAAAAAAGCGGUACGUAUCCAAAACAUUUAAGUUACAUUUUACAAACACAAACAUUUCAGUUAUUUAGAAUAUUAUUCCAAAUUUAAUUUCAAAUUAAAAGGUUUUAGGGUUAUUCACCUGUUGCUGUAUUCACACAAAAAAAAACUAUGUAGAUAAAAACUUUUUUAAAACGGUGAGCAGCAGAAACAUAUGUAAUUAUUUUUUAUUCUGAUUAUUUCUUUACUUAUGAAUUGUAUUAUUUUAAUUUUGUUUUCCAAUUAUAUCUUGAGAAAACAAGAUCAAUAUAUGGUUUGACUGAACUUUAAUAUGAUUUAUUAACACUGACUUUUCCUUGGGGGGGGGGGGGGUCAGCAAUUUUCUAGGGGUGGCCUUGGCCACCCCUGGCCACCCCUUGGGGACGCCCUUGUUUAUUCCUCACAACAAAUUGUUUUCUGCAUGAUUAGAAAACAAAGAUAAAAACAAAAAAGCUGACCCAAAGUUUGCUUCAUGACAUCAUAGGAACAGAUUAUUUCAUGACGGAAGCAGGAAGUAGCCUGAUCCCCUUCAGCGUCACGAGAACAAGACACAAAUUCACACGGGAUUUCAACACCGGGUUAAAACACACUCCAGCAUUCCUAGUUGGACUCCGAUCAGCUUCUCUCCUUGUUUUCUUCCUUCGCUUCAGCAGAAGCCACUGCCACACACACACACACACACACACACACACUGACCCCGGCCAGUAGGUCUCAGCUCGUGUUGCUUUGUGACCAAACGAUGUUCGGCUGUUUUUGACCUCCGUGGAGGCGUGGCAUGUUUGUUAUGAAUUAAACCAACAUGUAAAACUUCAGAAUGUUUAAAAACCAGAACUUUGGUGAUGGAUGAGUGUGACUCUGUUCAACCGUAUCAUUAAACCAUAACCUUAGGUAUUAAACCCAUCUGAGAACCAGAUUGGGUUCCAGCAGAACCGGAUUUUAAUGUGAUUUAUCAGAUUCCACCCAUCAGGAAGUAAAACAUUUGUUUUUUUGAUUCGUUAAUAAUUAAUCAGCUGCUUGUUUUCACUCAUUUGUUAUAAUUUAACUAAAUAAUCAGGAACAUCUCAGCCUGAAGGUUACCGUUUCUGGUUGGAUCCAGCAGAGGGCGCUGUGGUCUCAUCUAAAUAAAAUCUAAAUGUUUCACAACAAAAUAUUAAAGAUCAAGUUGAAAUGGUUCUGCUAGCUUUUGGGCUGAUAAAUUGUUUUUGUCCUGAUGAUAACAAACAAACGUAGUUCGUGGAUUUAAUGAAUAAAAAACAGUUUAUUCUCUCAGUCCAGCUCAUUUAGUGUUUCAUUGAACUGCUUUUGCUUUAUUUUUAAAGGCUAAAAACUAAAAUACUGAAAGUAAAUGUAAAUAUCUAACCUCAUUUUCAGGUUUAAUUUCUAGAAAAAAGUUAUUUAAUUUAUUUUAAGUUCUGAGUUUUUAUGUAUUUUUUAAUUUUAUUUUUUAUCAGAUUUUCAUGUAACUCUGGUUCUAAAUCCACCUUUAAAUCUGAUUCAGAUCAGAUCCGCAUCAGUUUCAGCAUAAAUCAUGCCGCUACUUCCUGCUUCACCUCACAGCUUCCUGUUUCUGUCGAACUACAAAAUAAAAGACUCAUAACAACCUGAAGGAGAACAAGCAUCAGUCACUCUACUUAGGAUUUGAUGUUUAGGGUUUACUCACGCUUUGCUCUGAUUGGUAAGAACAAGAAACCACAACGACACAAAGAUUGUUUCCAUCUUUCUUUCUUUUUUGCACAUUUUGAGGUGUUUUAAUCUGUUUUUAUUAUUAUCCUUAAAACUGCCGAAUGACUUCGACCCUCAUCAACGUUUCUGACCUUUAACCUGUUUGAGUCACUCAGACAUGUGGCUUUUACUCUGAUGACAGGUUUCAGAGUUUAAUCGAACAAAAAUGGAUGAAUUCAUUUGUUUAUGAGGUGAAAACACAAAAACAUUUGAAUCCUGAUUAUAAAACUGAAUUCAUCUUGUUAGACUCGACCAAUAUUUUAAAAACUAGAAGUUUAGAAUCUUUAGCAACAAAAAGAACAUGUUUACUUAUGAUGAAAUAAAAGGAAAACAUGUGAGUGAUAAACAGCUGAUCCGUCCGACCCGUUGGCCCGUAGGUCCGAAGUCAUUCCUGCGGAUGUAAAUACCAGUGAUGUUCUGAUUCCUGCUGUUGGUGCUUUCAUAUCUGCAGCAUCUGAGUUACAAUAAAAUGUUUAUAUCAA
Nothobranchius furzeri (turquoise killifish) is the source of this 6678-nucleotide non-coding RNA. The record is from RefSeq and is a predicted model, not a curated record. NCBI's taxonomy places the organism in Eukaryota, Metazoa, Chordata, Actinopteri, Cyprinodontiformes, Nothobranchiidae.